RNAcentral lists this non-coding RNA (68 nucleotides) under Nocardiopsis alba. Lineage: Bacteria; Bacillati; Actinomycetota; Actinomycetes; Streptosporangiales; Nocardiopsidaceae. The record is from RNAcentral.
GUACCGUUCGAGCACCUGUGAACCCCGGACGAGGGGCGCCGUACCCGGUCACGACAAGACGGCGCGCA